Non-coding RNA from Callithrix jacchus (white-tufted-ear marmoset), 4510 nucleotides. NCBI's taxonomy places the organism in Eukaryota, Metazoa, Chordata, Mammalia, Primates, Cebidae. The record is from RefSeq and is a predicted model, not a curated record.
ACCGCCGAGACUGUGUCCGCCCCGCAAGCACAGAGCUUUGCCCUUGCCGUUCCGUCGCCUGUCCACACCCGCCGCCAGCUCACCAUGGAUGAUGAUAUCGCUGCACUUGUUGUCGACAACGGCUCCGGCAUGUGCAAGGCUGGCUUCGCGGGUGACGAUGCUCCCCAGGCCGUCUUCCCCUCUAUUGUGGGGCGCCCCAGGCACCAGGGCGUGAUGGUGGGCAUGGGUCAGAAGGACUCCUACGUGGGUGACGAGGCCCAGAGCAAGAGAGGCAUCCUGACCCUGAAGUACCCCAUCGAGCAUGGCAUUGUCACCAACUGGGAUGACAUGGAGAAGAUCUGGCACCACACUUUUUACAACGAGCUGCGUGUGGCUCCUGAGGAGCACCCUGUGCUGCUUACUGAGGCCCCCCUGAACCCCAAGGCCAACCGUGAGAAGAUGACCCAGAUCAUGUUUGAGACCUUCAACACCCCAGCCAUGUAUGUGGCCAUCCAGGCUGUGCUCUCCUUGUACGCCUCUGGCCGUACCACUGGCAUCGUGAUGGACUCCGGUGACAGGGUCACCCACACUGUGCCCAUCUAUGAGGGGUAUGCCCUCCCCCACGCCAUCCUAUGUCUGGACCUGGCUGGCUGGGACCUGACUGACUACCUCAUGAAGAGCCUCACCAAGCGCGGCUACAGCUUCACCACCACAGCUGAGCGGGAAAUCGUGUGUGACAUCAAGGAGAAGCUGUGCUACGUCACCCUGGACUUCGAGCAGGAGAUGGCCACGGCGGCCUCCAGCUCCUCCCUGGAGAAGAGCUAUGAGCUGCCCGAUGGUCAGGUCAUCACCAUCAGCAAAGAGCGGUUCCGCUGCCCUGAGGCACUCUUCCAGCCUUCUUUCCUGGGCAUGGAAUCUUGUGGCAUCCACGAAACUACCUUUAACUCCAUCGUGAAAUGUGACGUGGACAUCCGCAAAGACCUGUAUGCCAACAGUGCUGUCUAGCGGUACCACCAUGUGCCCUGGCAUCGCUGACAGGAUGCAGAAGGAGAUCACCGCCCUGGCACCCAGCACGAUGAAGAUCAAGAUCAUUGCUCCUCCCGAGCGCAAGUACUCUGUGUGGAUCAGUGGCUCCAUCCUGGCCUCGCUGUCCACCUUCCAGCAGAUGUGGAUCAGCAAGCAGGAGUACGACGAGUCCGGCCCCUCCAUCGUCCACCGCAAAUGCUUCUAGGCGGACUGUGACUUAGUUGCGUUACACCCUUUCUUGACAAAACCUAACUUGCGCGGAAAACAAGAUGAGAUUGGCAUGGCUUUAUUUGUUUUUUUGUUUUGUUUUGGUUAUUUUUUUUGGCUUGACUCAGGAUUUAAAAACUGGAACCGUGAAGGUGACAGCAGUCGGUUGGAGCGAGCAUCCCCCAAAGUUCUACAAUGUGGCCGAGGACUUGAUUGUGUACAUUGUUUUUUUUAAGUCAUUCCAAAUAUCGUGAGAUGCAUUGUUACAGGAAGUCCCUUGCCCUCCCAAAAGCCACCCCACUUCUCUCUAAGGAGAAUGGCCCAGUUCUCUCCCGAGUCCACACAGGGGAGGUAACAGCAUUGCUUUUGUUGUAAAUUAUGUAAUGAAAAAAUUUUUAAAUUUCGCCUUAAUACUUUUUUUAUUUUGUUUUAUUUUGAAAGAUUUUAGCCUCUGGCUACCCCUUUUUUGUCCCUCGAGCAGUAUAAAGGCUUUUGGUCUCCCUGGGAGUGGGUGGAGGCAGCCAGGGCUUACCUGUACACUGACUUGAGACCAGUUGAAUAAAGUGCACACCUUAAAAAUGAGAAAAAAAACAAAAUCUAUCAAUCAAAUGAGAGAGAACCUCAAGAAUCCUAAUUCUUCUAGAAAAACCAGAUGUCUAAAUAAAACCUAUGGACUGAUUUUGCUCCCAGUUUCUUUGGCCAAGUUAUUUCCACCACUUUUAAUUUAACCCCUGUGCUGCUUUAUUGUAGCACAUCACUUGGUGCUAUGUGUAAACUCAGUUGCUUUUUAAAAUAUAUUGGCAUUAAAUGAGAUGUAUUUUAAGGAUAUAGGGAUCUGCUGCUGUGAGCAGUAUAUGAAGCUGCUGCCAGCCAGUUAAACCCCCAGGGAUGAAUUUCCACUCUCACUUCUCCUCCUUCUUUAAAGUAAAAGGAGAGAUAACUGAGGUGGGAUUUUCUUUUCUUUUCUCCAUGUAAUCUUUUCUAUUUUAUUGCCAACUUAUUUGAUGACUAAAAAUAUAUAUAGUUCAGUUUCAUAUUUUCCCUCUGUGCCCUAUUUCAGCAAAUUAUUCUUGGGGUUAAAACAAGUAGUGGUCUUCAAAUACUUCAUUGCAUAAAAAUUGUGGCUCCUGUUAUUGUGAAGUUCAUGAAAUAACAGCAUUAUUCAGCUCAUCUGCACUUCCACAGAAGCCUAAAAGAAAGGUUAAGGAAACUUACUUUUGUGUGCAACUGACCAUACGCUGAACUGAAAGUCCCAAAUGCUUAUGAGACACCUGCUUCCUAAAUCCAUGCUCUUCCACCAAGAGAUAAAAGCUUGAGCUCACCUUCAUUUGUGAACAGGAGCAGUGUGGAGGAUGGCAGCCAAGAGCAUUAGAUCUGCAAUCACACUUGUACGGUGCCUCCACUCACAUUGGCACCUUUCUACUUUCUCUGCUUUGAGCUGGAGUCACCUGAUACCCAGUUCAAUGCUGCUUUCUACUUUUGACAGCUCAAAGACAAGAUAGACUCUGUUCCUUCCACCUCAGGCUAGAAAAUCUAGACUUCCAAUAAAAUCUUUUCCGUCUUCAACAUAUAUUUUGGCAAGUAGUAUAGAAUCCAUAGUUUAGUUAUGUUGUUGCCAUACUAGAUCCUUGGUAUAGAUGUGCUGCCAAGACUUUCCAAACAGCGUUUCCCACAAAUAUCCAGAUUUUUCAGGAUCAGGAACAAAGUACACUUAAACUUUACAAAUGUUUUAUAGCCCAAAUUAACACAUAUUUGUAUCCACCCAUGUAAUCGAAAUGUUCAUGCUGGUUAAAUCAGAGUUGGUCCCGUGAUCUUGUAAUAUGAAAUUACCCAAUUGGUCUUGAGCUAUAUGAUGUUGUACCAUGAAAUACAGAAACAGCAUUGACCUGGGUAUCAGGUGACUCCAGCUCAUAGGCUUUUCAUGAGAUCUAUUAAUAUUGAGAUAUGCUGUAAGAAGAAUUUUGCAUAUACCAAGAUAAAACUAUGAAAGAUAGGCUGGGCACGGUGGCUCAUGCCUGUAAUUCCAGCACUUUGGGAGGCCAAGGCGGGCAGCUCAUGAGGUCAGGAGAUCGAGACCAUCCUGCUAACACAGUGAAACCCCAUCUCCACUAAAAAUACAAAAAAGUAGCCAGGCGUGGUAGCACGUGCCUGUAGUCACAGCUACUCGGGAGGCUGAGGCUGGAGAAUCACUUGAACCUGGGAGGCGGAGGUUGCAGUGAGCCAAGAUCAUGCCACUGCACUCCAGCCUGGGUGACAGAGUGAGACUUCAUCUCAAAAAAUAAAAAUAAAUUUAAAAAAACAUGAAGGAUAAAAUCCUUUAUUCUCACAAAAAAUAUUAAAAGGCUUUGUUCAGUGAUUCUCAGGACCCCUUUACACCUAUGAUUAUUGAAGACUCUAAAGAACAUUGGUUUAAGUGGGUUAUAUCUAUCAUUAUUAGCUGUAUUAGGAGUAACUUUAAAAAUAUUUAUUAACAUUUUAAAAAUAAUAGCCCACUGCCAACACUAACCUAAAUAAUGUAUUUUUGAAACACAAUUAUUUUCUAAAAAAAAAAUAUAGAAGAGUAGGAUUGUCUGACAGGUCCGAAAAAUUAAUAGAACAUGGUUGGACUCUCAUAUCUCCUUCUGUAUUCAGUCAGUCGUAAUAUGUUGUUUUGAUUGAAGCACAUGAAGAAAAUCCAGCCAUACACAGAUAAGGGUUUGGAAAAUGGAAGAAUAUUUUGUAUGUUUCAUAGCCUUUUCAGAUAGUCUCGUAUAUUCUUCUUUGCCUUUAUAUAAACUCAACAAUGGUAAUUCUAAGUGAUAGUUGCAAUGUGGAUUCUACAGUCAUAUUAAUAAACUUUUUGCUUUUGUAACUUAUAAGAGAACAAGAUUGAAAAAGGCAAAGAACAUCUUAGUAUAAUUUUGAAAAUAGUUUUGACCUUGCAGACCCCCUGAAAGGUUCUCAGUAUCCCCCAGGGUCCCCAGAUCACAAUUUGAGAAUCACUGGUGAUAUGGUUUGGUUCUGUGUCCCUACCCAAAUAUCUUGAAUUGUAAUCCUCAUGUGUUGGAGGAGAAGCCUGGUGGGAGAUGAUUGGAUCACAGGGCACGUUUCCCCCUUGCUUUUUUUGUGAUAGUGAGUGAGUUCUCACAAGAGCCGAUGGUUUUAAAGUGUGGGACUUUCCGCCUCGCUCGCUCUCUCUCCUGCCACCAUGUGCAGAAGGCCUUUGUUUCCCCUUCACCUUCCACCGUGAUUGUAAGUCUUCUGAAGCCUUCCCAGCCAUGUGGAACUGUGAGUCAGUUCAACCUUUUUUCUUCAUAAA